RNAcentral lists this ribosomal RNA (421 nucleotides) under uncultured archaeon. RNAcentral describes it as "partial 16S ribosomal RNA". It matches the Rfam family "Archaeal small subunit ribosomal RNA", at positions 323 to 746 of the family's 1478-position model. The record is from RNAcentral.
CUACGGGGGGCUGCAGGCGAGAAAACUUUGCAAUGUGCGAAAGCACGACAAGGUUAAUCCGAGUGGUUUGUGCUAAACGAACCUUUUGACAGUCCUAGAAACACUGUUGAAUAAGGGGUGGGCAAGUUCUGGUGUCAGCCGCCGCGGUAAAACCAGCACCUCAAGUGGUCAGGAUGAUUAUUGGGCCUAAAGCAUCCGUAGCCGGCUCUGGAAGUUUUCGGUUAAAUCUGUACGCUCAACGUACAGGCUGCCGGGAAUACUGCAGAGCUAGGGAGUGGGAGAGGUAGACGGUACUCGUAGGAAGGGGUAAACUCCUUUGAUCUAUUGAUGACCACCUGUGGCGAAGGCGGUCUACCAGAACACGUCCGACGGUGAGGGAUGAAAGCUGGGGGAGCAAACCGGAUUAGAUACCCUCGUAGUC